UGGUGGAGUGAUUUGUCUGGUUAAUUCCGUUAACAAACGAGACCUCCGCCUACUAAAUAGUUGGCUGACUCACUGAGUUAGUACAACUUCUUAGAGGGACAACUGGUGUUUAGCCAGUGGAAGUUGGAGGCAAUAACA
This 138-nucleotide ribosomal RNA is filed under the name uncultured eukaryote. Its description in RNAcentral is "partial 18S ribosomal RNA". It matches the Rfam family "Eukaryotic small subunit ribosomal RNA", at positions 1299 to 1458 of the family's 1831-position model. The record is from RNAcentral.